GGGCCGGUUGUUACCAGCUUCCAGCCCGUGUCAGGCGCGAGCCUGUCUUUUUCUGGAUCAAAUCAAGCGCGAGAAGGGCGNNNNNNNNNNGCUUUGAUCCCAAGAUCUCCGAAUGGGGCAACCCACCUGAUACUCGGUUAUAAUCAGCUCUGCUGUUUAUAAUUGGGUAAAACAGGUACUUUUAACCUGAAUACAUAGGGUUUUAAGAGCAAACCCGGGGAACUGAAACAUCUAAGUACCCGGAGGAAAGGACAUCAAUUGAUACUCCCCUAGUAGCGGCGAGCGAACGGGGACCAGCCGAGCAACGUAGUGAACUGGAACGACCUGGAAAGGUCGGCCAUAGCGGGUGAC
This 351-nucleotide ribosomal RNA is filed under the name Rhodothermales bacterium. Its description in RNAcentral is "partial 23S ribosomal RNA". It matches the Rfam family "Bacterial large subunit ribosomal RNA", at positions 1 to 368 of the family's 2925-position model. Lineage: Bacteria; Pseudomonadati; Rhodothermota; Rhodothermia; Rhodothermales. The record is from RNAcentral.